Long non-coding RNA from Vigna unguiculata (cowpea), 576 nucleotides. RefSeq lists it as uncharacterized. Lineage: Eukaryota; Viridiplantae; Streptophyta; Magnoliopsida; Fabales; Fabaceae. The record is from RefSeq and is a predicted model, not a curated record.
UUUAUUGUGAUGCCAAAUAUAUAAAAGUAAUUUUUGUUUAUCAAAUGUAUUCACUGCGGAAGGUGCUAUAUUUAUUGAUCCUGGCACCCCAAGUCACUUUCAAAAGCAACUCCGAUGACGUUUUCUCUCUUCAACUUCAGAUUUCUUCUUCUUUCAACAAAGUUUUGAUGUUGAAGGAAGAAAUUGCACGCUAUUGUUGCUGCAGUCAUGGAAAAAGAGUCAAAGAUGUAUGGUUUCACAAGCUUGUGUUAGGACAUUGGGACUAGUAUGAAAUAAUUAAGCUCCUUACGGAUGAUGAUGUUCGCGACAUGGUUGCCUUUUUCCUUCCACUCCCACAUGAUCUCCCAAUGAAGCUUUCAGUGACCCUACAUCCUCCUGAAGUGACAAUUUGGAUGCAACAAACCCAGUUGCUGCCAAUAAUGUCGAUGACUAAAGCUUAGUUCGUUAUGUGUUUAGGGAAGUCUCAAUAGUAUGUUUAGUAAUCUUUAUGAUUAGUAGUUAAUUUCCAUUAAUGACUUCAGUGUGUUUAAUGUAACAAAGUAUUUGUGUUUAAUUGAACUUUUCUUUAAGUACUAA